This is a non-coding RNA of Cinara cedri, 270 nucleotides long. The record is from the annotation of a GenBank genome assembly. NCBI's taxonomy places the organism in Eukaryota, Metazoa, Arthropoda, Insecta, Hemiptera, Aphididae.
CAGAAAAUUUGAACAAUGAAUAAUAAUUUUUAAUAAUUUGUUAACAGGUUUUUUUUUAUAUAAGAGUGAUUUUUUUUUUUGCGAGUUUAAAAAAAACAACUAUCAUUUUUGGAUAGUUCAUCCAUAUUUAAGUUCAUUAAAUAAUUCAGAGGGACAAAAAAAACGGCAAUGAUAACGUAACGCUAACCCGAUAUCAAUCGUUAUUCGUUAUAAAACAUGGAGAUUAAGAUAUCGACGACGGGUUAAUAUUAUAAUAAUGUCAAAGACUUA